Non-coding RNA from Ixodes scapularis (black-legged tick), 73 nucleotides. The record is from Rfam. Lineage: Eukaryota; Metazoa; Arthropoda; Arachnida; Ixodida; Ixodidae.
CCCUGGUUAGCUCAGUUGAUAGAGCGCUCCACUGGAAAUGGAGAGGUCCCUGCUUCGAUACCAGGACCAGGCG